RNAcentral lists this unclassified non-coding RNA (245 nucleotides) under Hevea brasiliensis (rubber tree). Lineage: Eukaryota; Viridiplantae; Streptophyta; Magnoliopsida; Malpighiales; Euphorbiaceae. The record is from RNAcentral.
AAAAAAAAAAUAUUGUGCUUUGAUAUGGAAUUUCUGGUGCCGUCUGCUUUUGAUUUUGAACAGCUUUAUUAGCUUUCUUUUGAGUUGGAAUUCGUUUUGUAGUGUUCUUAAACACUGGUUUGUUGCUACACAGUUGAAAUUGAAGGGGUUUUAGUCUGCCUCUGAUGAUCUUUGUCGAGUUUCUUUUAUCUCUCUUCUUCUUUUAUAUGUAAUUUUGUACACUUUUUGUCCUACUUCCCCCCCAC